RNAcentral lists this ribosomal RNA (468 nucleotides) under uncultured bacterium. RNAcentral's name for it is "partial 16S ribosomal RNA". It matches the Rfam family "Bacterial small subunit ribosomal RNA", at positions 28 to 507 of the family's 1533-position model. The record is from RNAcentral.
GACGAACGCUGGCGGCGUGCUUAACACAUGCAAGUCGAACGGAAAGGCCCUGCUUUUGUGGGGUGCUCGAGUGGCGAACGGGUGAGUAACACGUGAGUAACCUGCCCUUGACUUUGGGAUAACUUCAGGAAACUGGGGCUAAUACCGGAUAGGAGCUCCUGCUGCAUGGUGGGGGUGGGAAAGUUUCGGCGGUUGGUGAUGGACUCGCGGCUUAUCAGCUUGUUGGUGGGGUAGUGGCUUACCAAGGCUUUGACGGGUAGCCGGCCUGAGAGGGUGACCGGCCACAUUGGGACUGAGAUACGGCCCAGACUCCUACGGGAGGCAGCAGUGGGGAAUAUUGCACACUGGGCGGAAGCCUGAUGCAGCAACGCCGCGUGCGGGAUGACGGCCUUCGGGUUGUAACCCGCUUUCGCCUGUGACGAAGCGUGAGUGACGGUAAUGGGUAAAGAAGCACCGGCUAACUACGUG